RNAcentral lists this ribosomal RNA (963 nucleotides) under uncultured bacterium. Its description in RNAcentral is "bacterial SSU rRNA". It matches the Rfam family "Bacterial small subunit ribosomal RNA", at positions 543 to 1501 of the family's 1533-position model. The record is from RNAcentral.
GUCCGGAUUUAUUGGGCGUAAAGGGCUCGUAGGUGGUUGAUCGCGUCGGAAGUGUAAUCUUGGGGCUUAACCCUGAGCGUGCUUUCGAUACGGGUUGACUUGAGGAAGGUAGGGGAGAAUGGAAUUCCUGGUGGAGCGGUGGAAUGCGCAGAUAUCAGGAGGAACACCAGUGGCGAAGGCGGUUCUCUGGGCCUUUCCUGACGCUGAGGAGCGAAAGCGUGGGGAGCGAACAGGCUUAGAUACCCUGGUAGUCCACGCUGUAAACGGUGGGUACUAGGUGUGGGGUCCAUUCCACGGGUUCCGUGCCGUAGCUAACGCUUUAAGUACCCCGCCUGGGGAGUACGGCCGCAAGGCUAAAACUCAAAGGAAUUGACGGGGCCCCGCACAAGCGGCGGAGCAUGCGGAUUAAUUCGAUGCAACGCGUAGAACCUUACCUGGGUUUGACAUGGAUCGGGAGUGCUCAGAGAUGGGUGUGCCUCUUUUGGGGUCGGUUCACAGGUGGUGCAUGGCUGUCGUCAGCUCGUGUCGUGAGAUGUUGGGUUAAGUCCCGCAACGAGCGCAACCCUUGUUCACUGUUGCCAGCACGUUAUGGUGGGGACUCAGUGGAGACCGCCGGGGUCAACUCGGAGGAAGGUGGGGAUGACGUCAAGUCAUCAUGCCCCUUAUGUCCAGGGCUUCACGCAUGCUACAAUGGCUGGUACAGAGAGUGGCGAGCCUGUGAGGGUGAGCGAAUCUCGGAAAGCCGGUCUCAGUUCGGAUUGGGGUCUGCAACUCGACCUCAUGAAGUCGGAGUCGCUAGUAAUCGCAGAUCAGCAACGCUGCGGUGAAUACGUUCCCGGGGCUUGUACACACCGCCCGUCAAGUCAUGAAAGUUGGUAACACCCGAAGCCGGUGGCCUAACCGUUGUGGGGGAGCCGUCGAAGGUGGGACUGGUGAUUAGGACUAAGUCGUAACAAGGUAACC